AUUGAACGCUGGCGGCAUGCUUUACACAUGCAAGUCGAACGGCAGCGCGGGCUUCGGCCUGGCUGCGAGUGGCGAACGGGUGAGUAAUACAUCGGAACGUGCCCAGCAGUGGGGUAUAGCUCGGCGAAAGCCGGAUUAAUACCGCAUACGACCUGAUGGUGAAAGCUGGGGAUCUUCGGACCUCUCGCGCUUUUGGCGGCCGAUGGGAGAUUAGCUAGUUGGUGGGGUAAAGGCCUACCAAGGCGACGAUCUGUAGCUGGUCUGAGAGGACGACCAGCCACACUGGGACUGAGACACGGCCCAGGCUCCUACGGGAGGCAGCAGUGGGGAAUUUUGGACAAUGGGCGAAAGCCUGAUCCAGCAAUGCCGCGUGUGUGAUGAAGGCCUUCGGGUUGUAAAGCACUUUUGGCGGGAACGAAAAGGACUGUGCUAAUACCACGGUUCGAUGACGGUACCCGCAGAAUAAGCACCGGCUAACUACGUG
This 484-nucleotide ribosomal RNA is filed under the name uncultured bacterium. Its description in RNAcentral is "partial 16S ribosomal RNA". It matches the Rfam family "Bacterial small subunit ribosomal RNA", at positions 30 to 507 of the family's 1533-position model. The record is from RNAcentral.